Molecule: long non-coding RNA, 1203 nt
Organism: Etheostoma cragini (Arkansas darter)
Lineage: Eukaryota; Metazoa; Chordata; Actinopteri; Perciformes; Percidae
Exons: 3
Source: RefSeq, a predicted model, not a curated record
AGACACAUCCAGGUCCAUUUCUGAGGGUCAACAAUUCACCUCACCCAACUCUGAAGAAUUUCAUUUAGGGUCUGAGGUUCAAAAACACCCCCUAGUUUAGUUCCAGAGAGGUGCUCUAGUCCAUUGCAGUCUGGCCUUCUUCCAGUCCAGCCAUGAUUGCGUCUUAGGACUUCUGCUCCGGUGUGGUAGCAGGCGUGGCCAGACUCUCCGGCUUCACAAUCUGAUGACGUACUCUGCAUACGCCAGUCCGUUGACACUGGGUCGACCUAUAACCGAGUGGUGUCCAGGGGGGGCGUGGGCCAUCUUCAUCGCACUAAACUGAAGAAACGACUUACCCAGCGUCACUCUGCAGAACAGCAUCUGCCUGAAACGCAAACACACAGAAUAAUACAUGAAGACUGGAACUCCUUGUCGUCUGGUGCCAGGUCGAUCAGCACGGUUCCCUGGCUGGAGCAGUGGAACGUCAGAUAUGGGUUUGCACCUACAAACCAAAAAAUGAUGAGACUGACAAUACAUUUCUUAUCAUACAUUACAGGUACAGCUAAAUAAAUAACACAGGAGUUUGAUGUAUAGAUGAUCUAAAGUAAACAUUUUUAGUUUUUCUUAACAAAUCAGAACACUAAAUAACAGAACUUGGUGUUAUAAAGAGAACAUGCUUGAUUGUUUUAACAUUUCAGUGUUUAUUUGACAAUUACCUAUUUAUAUACAGUAAAGCGUGUGUGUGUUCCUGACCUUGCUGGCCACCCAGCAGCCUCUCGAUGCCCUUGAUGAGUUUGUGUCUGUGGCCGUAAGCAUUGAUGCCGAUCUCUUUCAGCUCCUCGUGACCCAUAUCUGCCAGCACAUCCAGCGAAAUCUGCCCAGAAAUAACAAAUGAGUCAUGCCAGUCUUGCUUAGAGUUGUCUUCUGCCAAACAAUGUAUAUUACUAGGAAAAUAACAUUUUAUGAUCUUAAUCUCCAAUAAUUAUUUGAGCGAUACUUGUAACUAUACAUCUGUCAACUGAAUCAAAUGUCCUAAUUUAUUGAAAAGUAGAACUCCUGAAACCUAGACAAAAACACAUUACAAUUUGAUGGUGACAACAGCAAGUCAUGCUAAAACUGAACAUUAAAAUUAAAUAACCCAAAAAACAUGAUCUCAGUGAACUAAGACAUUGUAGAGACAAUCAGUCUGACAAAUAUUCAUAAGAGGAAGACAGAAGCGGCAUG